AACCUCUGCAAUGCGCGAAAGCGUGACAGGGGGACUCCGAGUGAUAUGGGUCUUAAGCCUAUAUCUUUUCCCAAGUGUAAAAAGCUUGGGGAAUAAGGGUGUGGGCAAGACCGGUGGCAGCCGCCGCGGUAACACCGGCGCCUCAAGUGGUGCUCACGAUUAUUGGGCUUAAAGCGCCCGUAGCCGGUCUGGUGUGUGCACUGUGAAAUGUUGGGGCUCAACUCCAACACGUGCAGUGUAUACUACCCGACUAGGGAGCGGGGGAGGAGGAGGGUACGUUCAGGCUAGCGGUAAAAUGCGUUGAACCUGAACGGACCACCAGUGGCGAAGGCGCUCCUCCAAAACGCGUCCGACGGUGAGGGGCGAAGGCUAGGGGAGCAAAAGGGAUUAGAUACCCCUGUAGUCCUAGCUGUAAAUGAUGCCCACUGCUCCUUACUGUUGCUCUGUGCAGUGGUA
Molecule: ribosomal RNA, 456 nt
Filed under: uncultured crenarchaeote
Lineage: Archaea; Thermoproteati; Thermoproteota
Description: bacterial SSU rRNA
Rfam family: Archaeal small subunit ribosomal RNA
Source: RNAcentral